RNAcentral lists this transfer RNA (66 nucleotides) under Cordylochernes scorpioides. RNAcentral describes it as "tRNA-OTHER". The record is from RNAcentral. Lineage: Eukaryota; Metazoa; Arthropoda; Arachnida; Pseudoscorpiones; Chernetidae.
UGCAUCGGCCGGGAAUCGAACCCGGACCGCGGGCAGGCGAGCAUUCUACCACUGAACCACCGAUGG